GUACAAGUUCUUUCGCUCCUACGGCGAACGACGCGUUCCGAUGACAUGCAAAGGGGGUGUGUGUAGUGUGUUACAAAAGGGACGCGGGCCCCGAACGAGUGAACGCCCGUGACCCGCGCAGAGGUGCACAGGUGUGUGAGAGACGAAGACGGAGACGCGGCGUGCACGGUUGCGACCCCGAGGGGGAAGCCAGCUACAACCUCGCUCUAGCUUUCGUUAAUGAUCCUUCCGCAGGUUCACCUACGGAAA
Molecule: unclassified non-coding RNA, 249 nt
Filed under: uncultured fungus
Lineage: Eukaryota; Fungi
Description: sequence contains ITS1
Source: RNAcentral